UAAAGUUAGGAAAUCAGGCACAGAGGCAGCUGCUGGGGAAAGUAUCCAGUUACUCCCUGGCUGAAGGAAGGUGUGUUUGGAGACCAUGGGGAUAGGUAGCCCAUAGUUACUUUGGGGAGUGCUAGACUGUAAGGGAAGGGCUCAGGGAAAGGCAGUAAGGUUAACACUCCUUGACUGAUGACUAGAGGGUCCCUGAGCCAGAACCCAGAGUAGAGGGCAGGUCUAGGUUUCCCUGAGGAGUGAUAGCAAGGGCCAGUGAAAGGGGAGACUCACUCUGGUACCCUAGAAGGGGAAAACAUGUAGGGUGACUUGGCUGGAGGACUGAGUCAUGGAAAGAAGGCUGCAGCUUGAGGAGUGAGGAAGAGGUGAUAGACCCAGAAAGAAGAGGGAGGGGAGCAGAAAAACUGUGUGCAACUGCAGGAAGAGGUGUUGACCUGGUGAGCUAUUUCCCAGAGUGACCAGGAGGAGGCACCAUCCUAGAGGGGAUGGAUCUGCAGGCAUGCCUACUAUCUCAGUGUGACAGAUCCCCUGGCGUACUACUGAGCUCCCUGACCCACCAGCGUGGGCUCCCUUUAUGCUGUACUGCUGUGACCAGCCUGCCAAGCUUUCUCUCAGGCUUCAGCACACCUACAGGUUUCUUAGCUCUCGCUGAAAAGCCUGCAGAAAAGUGACUGGGGAAAUUCUUCAGGAACAUUAAGGAAAUCUGUAUUAGAAGACAAGUGCUUCCUGUACAAAGGAGCUCAUAAAUCUUUAAAAUAACAGGGUUUUUUUGUGUUCCCUGGCUGAAUUAGUUUUACCACCUACUACUUGGUAUUAAAUGACU
Molecule: long non-coding RNA, 823 nt
Organism: Mauremys reevesii (Reeves's turtle)
Lineage: Eukaryota; Metazoa; Chordata; Testudines; Geoemydidae
Exons: 3
Source: RefSeq, a predicted model, not a curated record